Molecule: non-coding RNA, 25 nt
Filed under: Rattus norvegicus (Norway rat)
Lineage: Eukaryota; Metazoa; Chordata; Mammalia; Rodentia; Muridae
Source: RNAcentral
UCAUUUCUUCUUGUUGUUGGUUCUU